AUACGUAGGGAGCGAGCGUUGUCCGGAAUUACUGGGUGUAAAGGGUGCGUAGGCGGGGCUGCAAGUCAGAUGUGAAAUGUAUGGGCUCAACCCAUGAACUGCAUUUGAAACUGUGGCUCUUGAGUGAGGUAGAGGUAAGCGGAAUUCCUAGUGUAGCGGUGAAAUGCGUAGAUAUUAGGAGGAACAUCGGUGGCGAAGGCGGCUUACUGGGCCUUUACUGACGCUGAGGCACGAAAGCGUGGGGAGCAAACAGGAUUAGAUACCCUGGUAGUCCACGCUGUAAACGAUGAUGACUAGGUGUGGGGGGACUGAACCCUUCCGUGCCGCAGUUAACACAAUAAGUCAUCCACCUGGGGAGUACGGCCGCAAGGUUGAAACUCAAAUGAAUUGGCGGGG
This 396-nucleotide ribosomal RNA is filed under the name uncultured bacterium. RNAcentral's name for it is "partial 16S ribosomal RNA". It matches the Rfam family "Bacterial small subunit ribosomal RNA", at positions 523 to 918 of the family's 1533-position model. The record is from RNAcentral.